Molecule: non-coding RNA, 21 nt
Filed under: Caenorhabditis elegans
Lineage: Eukaryota; Metazoa; Nematoda; Chromadorea; Rhabditida; Rhabditidae
Source: RNAcentral
UCAGCCGAAUUCAACAACUUG